Molecule: ribosomal RNA, 1452 nt
Filed under: Halomonas sp. 3024
Lineage: Bacteria; Pseudomonadati; Pseudomonadota; Gammaproteobacteria; Oceanospirillales; Halomonadaceae
Description: bacterial SSU rRNA
Rfam family: Bacterial small subunit ribosomal RNA
Source: RNAcentral
AGAGUUUGAUCCUGGCUCAGAUUGAACGCUGGCGGCAGGCCUAACACAUGCAAGUCGAGCGGAAACGAUCCUAGCUUGCUAGGAGGCGUCGAGCGGCGGACGGGUGAGUAAUGCAUAGGAAUCUGCCCGGUAGUGGGGGAUAACUUGAGGAAACUCAAGCUAAUACCGCAUACGCCCUACGGGGGAAAGCAGGGGCUCUUCGGACCUUGCGCUAUCGGAUGAGCUUAUGUCGGAUUAGCUGGUUGGUGAGGUAACGGCUCACCAAGGCGACGAUCCGUAGCUGGUCUGAGAGGAUGAUCAGCCACAUCGGGACUGAGACACGGCCCGAACUCCUACGGGAGGCAGCAGUGGGGAAUAUUGGACAAUGGGGGCAACCCUGAUCCAGCCAUGCCGCGUGUGUGAAGAAGGCCCUCGGGUUGUAAAGCACUUUCAGCGAGGAAGAAUGCUUGUCGGUUAAUACCCGGCAAGGGAGACAUCACUCGCAGAAGAAGCACCGGCUAACUCCGUGCCAGCAGCCGCGGUAAUACGGAGGGUGCGAGCGUUAAUCGGAAUUACUGGGCGUAAAGCGUGCGUAGGCGGCUUGAUAAGCCGGUUGUGAAAGCCCCGGGCUCAACCUGGGAACGGCAUCCGGAACUGUUAGGCUAGAGUGCAGGAGAGGAAGGCCAGUGGCGAAGGCGGCCUUCUGGACUGACACUGACGCUGAGGUACGAAAGCGUGGGUAGCAAACAGGAUUAGAUACCCUGGUAGUCCACGCCGUAAACGAUGUCGACUAGCCGUUGGAGUCCUCGAGACCUUUGUGGCGCAGUUAACGCACUAAGUCGACCGCCUGGGGAGUACGGCCGCAAGGUUAAAACUCAAAUGAAUUGACGGGGGCCCGCACAAGCGGUGGAGCAUGUGGUUUAAUUCGAUGCAACGCGAAGAACCUUACCUACCCUUGACAUCGUGCGAACUUUCCAGAGAUGGAUUGGUGCCUUCGGGAGCGCAUAGACAGGUGCUGCAUGGCUGUCGUCAGCUCGUGUUGUGAAAUGUUGGGUUAAGUCCCGUAACGAGCGCAACCCUUGUCCCUAUUUGCCAGCGAUUCGGUCGGGAACUCUAGGGAGACUGCCGGUGACAAACCGGAGGAAGGUGGGGACGACGUCAGGUCAUCAUGGCCCUUACGGGUAGGGCUACACACGUGCUACAAUGGCCGGUACGAUGGGUUGCAAAGCGGCGACGUGGAGCUAAUCUCAUAAAGCCGGUCUCAGUCCGGAUCGGAGUCUGCAACUCGACUCCGUGAAGUCGGAAUCGCUAGUAAUCGUGCAUCAGAAUGGCACGGUGAAUACGUUCCCGGGCCUUGUACACACCGCCCGUCACACCAUGGGAGUGGACUGCACCAGAAGUGGUUAGCCUAACUUCGGAGGGCGAUCACCACGGUGUGGUUCAUGACUGGGGUGAAGUCGUAACAAGGUAACC